UACGUAGGGGGCAAGCGUUGUCCGGAAUCAUUGGGCGUAAAGAGCGUGUAGGCGGCUUGGUAGGUCUGCUGUGAAAACUCGAGGCUCAACUUCGAGCUGUCGGUGGAAACUUUCUGGCUAGAGUCCGGAAGAGGAGAAUGGAAUUCCUGGUGUAGCGGUGAAAUGCGCAGAUAUCAGGAAGAACACCCGUGGCGAAGGCGGCUACCUGGAUUGAUACUGACACUGAGGCGCGAAAGCGUGGGGGAGCAAACAGG
This 254-nucleotide ribosomal RNA is filed under the name uncultured bacterium. RNAcentral describes it as "partial 16S ribosomal RNA". It matches the Rfam family "Bacterial small subunit ribosomal RNA", at positions 524 to 776 of the family's 1533-position model. The record is from RNAcentral.